RNAcentral lists this long non-coding RNA (781 nucleotides) under Homo sapiens (human). Its description in RNAcentral is "novel transcript". Lineage: Eukaryota; Metazoa; Chordata; Mammalia; Primates; Hominidae. The record is from RNAcentral.
GGCAUUUGUCUCCUGCCGCAGCUGGGGCUGCAGAUCUAGUCUUCAGUUCACAGAGAACUGCCCCCCAACUGCUCCCCCGUACUCUGCUCCUACAGGCCCAGCUGCUGUGGCUGUGCGACCUGCAGGGACUGGCAGACCCGUAGCUAAGACGCCAGGAUUUCCUGGAAGCAGAGAAAUGAUUACCCGUGAGGCAGCCGAGAGCGACCCACCCGCCCACUCGCAGCUCCGAAGCAGCUUCAAGAAGGAACAGGAUCCCGAGGCCUGGACGCUGGACCCUACACCGCCACCCUCGUCCCAGCCCGCUGCAGGCCGCAGUUCCUCGGCCGUGGAGUAGUUUUAGAUUCCAGUUCCUGGGACCAGCUUGAUAUUCUUUGUGUAGAAGCCAGCCUGGAGCCAGCCGACAGGAAUAGGCAGAAGCAGAAUAAUACUGCAGGGCUCGAAUGUCCUGGAUGGAUUCCAAGAUGGCAAAAUAGGAACAGUUCCGGUCUGCAGCUCCCAGCAUGAUCGACACAGAAGACAGGUGAUUUCUGCACUUCCAACUGAGCCAUGCUGGCAGCUGAUUGUAUGGUGCCCACCCACAUUGAGGGUGGAUCUGCCUUUCCCAGUCCACUAAAUAAAUGUUAAUCUCCUUUGACAACACCCUCACAGAAACAACCGGGAACAAUACUUUGGAUCCUUCAAUCCAAUCAAGUUGACACCUUACUGAAUAUUAACCUUCACAAUGUAAUAUUCAUCCCAUUUGUAAUUUUUCUUUAAUAUACAAGCUCCUUGAGAACAUGCA